GUCUCCGUAGCUCAACUGGAUAGAGCACCCGCCUUCUAAGCGGGGGGUUGCGUGUUCGAGUCACGCCGGAGGCGCCA
This 77-nucleotide transfer RNA is filed under the name Eoetvoesiella caeni. RNAcentral describes it as "tRNA-Arg(tct)". It matches the Rfam family "tRNA". Rfam says of the family: Transfer RNA (tRNA) molecules are approximately 80 nucleotides in length. Their secondary structure includes four short double-helical elements and three loops (D, anti-codon, and T loops). Further hydrogen bonds mediate the characteristic L-shaped molecular structure. tRNAs have two regions of fundamental functional importance: the anti-codon, which is responsible for specific mRNA codon recognition, and the 3' end, to which the tRNAs corresponding amino acid is attached (by aminoacyl-tRNA synthetases). tRNAs cope with the degeneracy of the genetic code in two manners: having more than one tRNA (with a specific anti-codon) for a particular amino acid; and 'wobble' base-pairing, i.e. permitting non-standard base-pairing at the 3rd anti-codon position. The record is from RNAcentral. Lineage: Bacteria; Pseudomonadati; Pseudomonadota; Betaproteobacteria; Burkholderiales; Alcaligenaceae.